CCUACGGGGGGCUGCAGUGGGGAAUUUUGGACAAUGGGCGAAAGCCUGAUCCAGCCAUGCCGCGUGCGGGAAGAAGGCCUUCGGGUUGUAAACCGCUUUUGUCAGGGAAGAAACGCUCCGAGCUAAUACCUCGGGGUAAUGACGGUACCUGAAGAAUAAGCACCGGCUAACUACGUGCCAGCAGCCGCGGUAAUACGUAGGGUGCAAGCGUUAAUCGGAAUUACUGGGCGUAAAGCGUGCGCAGGCGGCCAUGCAAGACAGAUGUGAAAUCCCCG
RNAcentral lists this ribosomal RNA (275 nucleotides) under uncultured bacterium. RNAcentral's name for it is "partial 16S ribosomal RNA". It matches the Rfam family "Bacterial small subunit ribosomal RNA", at positions 338 to 605 of the family's 1533-position model. The record is from RNAcentral.